This 450-nucleotide ribosomal RNA is filed under the name uncultured bacterium. Its description in RNAcentral is "partial 16S ribosomal RNA". It matches the Rfam family "Bacterial small subunit ribosomal RNA", at positions 354 to 796 of the family's 1533-position model. The record is from RNAcentral.
GUGGGGAAUCUUCCGCAAUGGACGAAAGUCUGACGGAGCAACGCCGCGUGAGUGAUGAAGGUCUUCGGAUUGUAAAGCUCUGUUAAUCGGGACGAAAGAGCCUAGUGUGAAUAAUGCUAGGAAGUGACGGUACCGGAAUAGAAAGCCACGGCUAACUACGUGCCAGCAGCCGCGGUAAUACGUAGGUGGCAAGCGUUGUCCGGAAUUAUUGGGCGUAAAGCGCGCGCAGGCGGAUCUGCCAGUCUGUCUUAAAAGUUCGGGGCUUAACCCCGUGAUGGGAUGGAAACUACAGAUCUAGAGUAUAGGAGAGGAAAGUGGAAUUCCUAGUGUAGCGGUGAAAUGCGUAGAUAUUAGGAAGAACACCAGUGGCGAAGGCGACUUUCUGGACGAAAACUGACGCUGAGGCGCGAAAGCCAGGGGAGCGAACGGGAUUAGAUACCCGAGUAGUCC